UGGGGAAUAUUGGACAAUGGGCGCAAGCCUGAUCCAGCCAUGCCGCGUGAGUGAUGAAGGCCUUAGGGUUGUAAGGCUCUUUCGGCGGGGACGAUAAUGACGGUACCCGCAGAAGAAGCCCCGGCUAACUUCGUGCCAGCAGCCGCGGUAAUACGAAGGGGGCUAGCGUUGUUCGGAAUCACUGGGCGUAAAGGGCGCGUAGGCGGCCAUAUAAGUCGGGGGUGAAAGCCUGUGGCUCAACCACAGAAUUGCCUUCGAUACUGUAUGGCUCGAGACCGGAAGAGGUAAAGUGGAACCUGCGAGUGUAGAGGUGAAAUUCGUAGAUAUUCGCAAGAACACCAGUGGCGAAGGCGGCUUACUGGUCCGGUUCUGACGCUGAGGCGCGAAAGCGUGGGGAGCAAACAGGAUUAGAUACCCUGGUAGUCCACGCCCUAAACGACUGGGUACUAGACGUCGGGAAGCUUGUCUUCUUGGUGUCGCAGCUAACGCAA
This 491-nucleotide ribosomal RNA is filed under the name uncultured Pseudomonadota bacterium. Its description in RNAcentral is "bacterial SSU rRNA". It matches the Rfam family "Bacterial small subunit ribosomal RNA", at positions 355 to 860 of the family's 1533-position model. The record is from RNAcentral. Lineage: Bacteria; Pseudomonadati; Pseudomonadota.